RNAcentral lists this ribosomal RNA (484 nucleotides) under uncultured bacterium. RNAcentral's name for it is "partial 16S ribosomal RNA". It matches the Rfam family "Bacterial small subunit ribosomal RNA", at positions 28 to 507 of the family's 1533-position model. The record is from RNAcentral.
AUUGAACGCUGGCGGCAUGCUUUACACAUGCAAGUCGAACGGCAGCGCGGGCUUCGGCCUGGCGGCGAGUGGCGAACGGGUGAGUAAUGCAUCGGAACGUGCCCAGUAGUGGGGGCUAGCCCGGCGAAAGCCGGAUUAAUACCGCAUACGACCUGAGGGUGAAAGCGGGGGACCGAAAGGCCUCGCGCUAUUGGAGCGGCCGAUGUCGGAUUAGCUAGUUGGUGGGGUAAAGGCUUACCAAGGCGACGAUCCGUAGCUGGUCUGAGAGGACGACCAGCCACACUGGGACUGAGACACGGCCCAGACUCCUACGGGAGGCAGCAGUGGGGAAUUUUGGACAAUGGGGGCAACCCUGAUCCAGCCAUGCCGCGUGCGGGAAGAAGGCCUUCGGGUUGGAAACCGCUUUUGUUCGGGAAGAAAUCCUCUGGGCUAAUACCCCGGGGGGAUGACGGUACCGGAAGAAGAAGCACCGGCUAACUACGUG